Suncus etruscus (white-toothed pygmy shrew) is the source of this 104-nucleotide small nuclear RNA. The record is from RefSeq and is a predicted model, not a curated record. NCBI's taxonomy places the organism in Eukaryota, Metazoa, Chordata, Mammalia, Eulipotyphla, Soricidae.
AUGCUUGUUUUGCUAGCACACAUACUAAAAUUGGAAUGAUACAAAGAUUAGCAUGGUCCCUGCACAAGGAUGAUAUGCAAAUUUGUGAAUCAUUCCAUAUUUAA